Molecule: transfer RNA, 66 nt
Filed under: Callista chinensis
Lineage: Eukaryota; Metazoa; Mollusca; Bivalvia; Venerida; Veneridae
Description: tRNA-Arg
Source: RNAcentral
UAAUAGAUGGUGUAAGACAGACAUAUACGAUUUCGGCUCGUAAGGUGCUCGGGGUAGCUCUAUUUU